This 21-nucleotide non-coding RNA is filed under the name Caenorhabditis elegans. The record is from RNAcentral. Lineage: Eukaryota; Metazoa; Nematoda; Chromadorea; Rhabditida; Rhabditidae.
UGGGGUUUUUUCUCACUUUGA